RNAcentral lists this unclassified non-coding RNA (284 nucleotides) under uncultured Glomus. RNAcentral's name for it is "sequence contains ITS2". The stretch from base 1 to 52 matches the Rfam family "5.8S ribosomal RNA", at positions 103 to 154 of the family's 154-position model. The record is from RNAcentral. Lineage: Eukaryota; Fungi; Glomeromycota; Glomeromycetes; Glomerales; Glomeraceae.
AACGCAAAUUGCACUUUCUGGUAUUCCGGAAAGUAUGCCUGUUUGAGGGUCAGUUAAAUAAAAAUCGGUGUUGUUGCUGCCUUUCGUGGCGACGCGUCGGAAUUGGGUCGUCUUAUCCUUCGGUUAAGUGACUUAAAAUUUUUGUAUGAUUUUCGAACGUAUUUAAAUUGCUUACGUACGUUUGAGAUAUCGAAUGUUUAUUAGGUUCGGUCAUCCUCAUGAUUCAAGCCUAUAAUUUUUCAUUAAAUGACCUCAAAUCAGGUAAGAAUACCCGCUGAACUUAA